RNAcentral lists this ribosomal RNA (497 nucleotides) under uncultured bacterium. RNAcentral describes it as "partial 16S ribosomal RNA". It matches the Rfam family "Bacterial small subunit ribosomal RNA", at positions 28 to 507 of the family's 1533-position model. The record is from RNAcentral.
GACGAACGCUGGCGGCGUGCCUAAUACAUGCAAGUUGAGCGAUGAAGCUUGGUGCUUGCACCAAUUUGAAGAGCAGCGAACGGGUGAGUAACGCGUGGGGAAUCUGCCUUUGAGCGGGGGACAACAUUUGGAAACGAAUGCUAAUACCGCAUAACAACUUUAAACAUAAGUUUUAAGUUUGAAAGAUGCAAUUGCAUCACUCAAAGAUGAUCCCGCGUUGUAUUAGCUAGUUGGUGAGGUAAAGGCUCACCAAGGCGAUGAUACAUAGCCGACCUGAGAGGGUGAUCGGCCACAUUGGGACCGAGACACGGCCCAAACUCCUACGGGAGGCAGCAGUAGGGAAUCUUCGGCAAUGGACGAAAGUCUGACCGAGCAACGCCGCGGGAGGGAAGAAGGUUUUCGGAUCGUAAAACUCUGUUGGUAGAGAAGAACGUUGGUGAGAGUGGAAAGCUCAUCAAGUGACGGUAACUACCCAGAAAGGGACGGCUAACUACGUG